AUCGAACGCUGGCGGCAAGCCUAACACAUGCAAGUCGAACGAGUGGCGGACGGGUGAGUAAUGUCUGGGAAACUGCCUGAUGGAGGGGGAUAACUACUGGAAACGGUAGCUAAUACCGCAUACCAUCGGAUGUGCCCAGAUGGGAUUAGCUAGUAGGUGGGGGAAAGGCUCACCAAGGCGACGAUCCAUAGCGGGUCUGAGAGGCUGACCAGCCACACUGGAACUGAGAUACGGUCCAGACUCCUACGGGAGGCAGCAGUGGGGAAUAUUGCGCAAUGGGCGCAAGCCUGAUGCAGCAAUGCCGCGUGUAUGAAGAAGGCCUUCGGGUUGUAAAGUACUUUCGUCAGGGAGGCGUUACCCGCAGAGAAAGCCCCGGCUAACUCCGUGCCAGCAGCCGCGGUAAUUC
Molecule: ribosomal RNA, 406 nt
Filed under: uncultured bacterium
Lineage: Bacteria
Description: partial 16S ribosomal RNA
Rfam family: Bacterial small subunit ribosomal RNA
Source: RNAcentral